This 77-nucleotide microRNA precursor is filed under the name Pongo abelii (Sumatran orangutan). RNAcentral's name for it is "miRNA". Lineage: Eukaryota; Metazoa; Chordata; Mammalia; Primates; Hominidae. The record is from RNAcentral.
AGGUUGAUGCAAAAGUAAUUGCAGGUUUUGUCACUAAAAAAAUAGCAAAACCCGCAAUUACUUUUGCACCAACCCAA